CCUGGUUGAUCCUGCCAGUAGUCAUAUGCUUGUCUCAAAGAUUAAGCCAUGCAUGUCUAAGUACACACUUUGGUAAAGUGAAACCGCGAAUGGCUCAUUAAAUCAGCUACAAUUUAUUAGAUCGUACACUGUUACUUGGAUAACUGUGGGAAUUCUAGAGCUAAUACAUGCCGAGAGUCUCUGCUCUUUGGGGCAGAGCGCAGUUAUUAGACCAAAACCAGCCGUAUUCUUCGGGGUACGCUCUUUUGGUGACUCUGGAUAACCUUCAGCCGAUCGCAUGGCCUCGUGCCGGCGACGUAUCUUUCAAGUGUCUGCCCUAUCAACUUUCGAUGGUACGUGAUAUGCCUACCAUGGUGAUAACGGGUAACGGGGAAUCAGGGUUCGAUUCCGGAGAGGGAGCCUGAGAAAUGGCUACCACAUCCAAGGAUGGCAGCAGGCGCGCAAAUUACCCACUCCCAGCUUGGGGAGGUAGUGACGAAAAAUAACAAUGCGGGACUCUAAGAGGCCCCGUAAUUGGAAUGAGUACACCUUAAAUCGUUUAACGAGUAUCAAUUGGAGGGCAAGUCUGGUGCCAGCAGCCGCGGUAAUUCCAGCUCCAAUAGCGUAUAUUAAAGUUGCUGCAGUUAAAAAGCUCGUAGUUGGAUCUGGGGCUUGAGGUCGCUGUCUAUCGUUUCGGCGAUGACGGUGAUGCUCAGCUCUGCUUGCCGGUGACUGUUGCGGUGUUCUUCACUGAGCGCUGUAGCAGCACGGCACGUUUACUUUGAAAAAAUUAGAGUGCUCAAAGCGUGCUUGUCGCUUGAAUAAUGUUGCAUGGAAUAAUGGAAUAGGACCUCGGUUCUAUUUUGUUGGUUUUCGGAGCUUGAGGUAAUGAUUAAGAGGGACGAACGGGGGCAUUCGUAUUGCGGUGUUAUAGGUGAAAUUCUUGGUUCGCCGCAAGACGGACUACUGCGAAAGCAUUUGCCAAGAACGCUUUCAUUAAUUAAGAACGAAAGUCAGAGGUUCGAAGACGAUCAGACACCGUCCUAGUUCUGACCAUAAACGAUGCCGACCAGCGAUCCGUAGUGGUUGCUUUAUGGACCCUACGGGCAGCCUCCGGGAAACCAAAGUAUUUGGGUUCCGGGGGAAGUAUGGUUGCAAAGCUGAAACUUAAAGGAAUUGACGGAAGGGCACACCAGGAGUGGAGCCUGCGGCUUAAUUUGACCCAACACGGGAAAACUCACCCGGUCCGGACACCGUAAGGAUUGACAGACUGAUAGCUCUUUCUUGAUUCGGUGGAUGGUGGUGCAUGGCCGUUCUUAGUUGGUGGAGUGAUUUGUCUGGUUAAUUCCGAUAACGAACGAGACUCUAGCCUGC
This 1353-nucleotide ribosomal RNA is filed under the name metagenome. RNAcentral describes it as "SSU rRNA". It matches the Rfam family "Eukaryotic small subunit ribosomal RNA", at positions 3 to 1351 of the family's 1831-position model. The record is from RNAcentral.